This 431-nucleotide ribosomal RNA is filed under the name uncultured bacterium. RNAcentral describes it as "bacterial SSU rRNA". It matches the Rfam family "Bacterial small subunit ribosomal RNA", at positions 917 to 1349 of the family's 1533-position model. The record is from RNAcentral.
GGGCCCGCACAAGCGGUGGAGUAUGUGGUUUAAUUCGAUGCAACGCGAAGAACCUUACCAGGGUUUGACAUCCUGCGAAUCUCUUGGAAACUUGAGAGUGCCUUCGGGAGCGCAGUGACAGGUGGUGCAUGGCUGUCGUCAGCUCGUGCCGUGAGGUGUCAGGUUAAGUCCUAUAACGAGCGCAACCCCUAUCGUUAGUUGCCAGCAUUUAGUUGGGCACUCUAGAGAGACCGCCGGUGAUAAACCGGAGGAAGGUGUGGAUGACGUCAAGUCAUCAUGCCCCUUACAUCCUGGGCUACACACGUACUACAAUGCUACGGACAAAGAGCAGCAAGUUCGCGAGGACAAGCAAAUCUCAUAAACCGUGGCUCAGUUCAGAUCGUAGGCUGCAACUCGCCUACGUGAAGGAGGAAUCGCUAGUAAUCGCAGGU